Molecule: ribosomal RNA, 795 nt
Filed under: Triticum aestivum (bread wheat)
Lineage: Eukaryota; Viridiplantae; Streptophyta; Magnoliopsida; Poales; Poaceae
Description: partial small subunit ribosomal RNA
Source: RNAcentral
AUGCAGGGAGAUCCAGGCUACGGGUACGGUGGCUACGGCGCCGGCUACGGGUACGGCUAUGGCGGUGGCUACGGCGCCGGCUAUGACAUGGCCGGGUACGGCAACGGAGCCGGAGGAGCGUACUACACCAACGACCGGUACCCCGCGGCGGCGCCGCCUGCCUAUGAGGACCCGCUCGCCGGUCGGAGGCAGCACGACUUCCCGGCUCCGCUCACCGGGCUCGAGUUCCAGCCGUCGGAUACCUGCCCCAAGAACUACGUCAUCUUUGAUCAGACCUAUGACCGGAGCAGGGUGAUGUACCACCCGUCGCUGGCCAACAACUUCGGCUCCUCCGGGGGCUACGACCAGCAGCACUGCAACAACGGCGGCUACGAUCAGAACUACGUCGGCAAGAGCACCUACUACGGCGGCGACCAGGACGGCGGCGAGUGCUCAAUCCGGCAGAAGGAGGACACCGACGAGAUCGACGCGCUGAUGAGCUCCGGGGACGGCGACGAGGAGGACGACGUGCUGAGCACGGGUCGCACGCCCGCGUGCCGCGGAGGGGGCUCGCCGGACUCCACCUGCUCCUCCGGGUACGUGGUGAGCGUCAGCCCGACUGGCAACGCCACCGGCGCCGGCGGAGGCGGCGAGAGGAAGAAGGAACGGAUGAAGAAGAUGAUGAAGACGCUCAAGGGGAUCAUCCCCGGCGGCGACCGGAUGGACACGCCCGCCGUCCUGGACGAGGCCGUCAGGUACCUCAAGUCGCUCAAGGUGGAGGUGAAGAAGCUCGGGGUGCGCGGAUCAAGAAGCUAG